Molecule: ribosomal RNA, 480 nt
Filed under: uncultured bacterium
Lineage: Bacteria
Description: partial 16S ribosomal RNA
Rfam family: Bacterial small subunit ribosomal RNA
Source: RNAcentral
GAUGAACGCUGGCGGCGCGCUUAACACAUGCAAGUCGAACGAUUAAGACCCCUUCGGGGGUGUAUAGAGUGGCGAACGGGUGAGUAACACGUGACUAACCUGCCCCUUACAUCGGGACAACAGCUGGAAACGGCUGCUAAUACCGGAUACUUCUUAUCUGCGGCAUCGCGGAUAAGAGAAAGCCUUUACGGUAAGGGAUGGGGUCGCGUCCGAUUAGCUAGUUGGUGAGGUAAUGGCCCACCAAGGCAACGAUCGGUAGCCGGCCUGAGAGGGUGAUCGGCCACAUUGGGACUGAGACACGGCCCAAACUCCUACGGGACGCAGCAGUGGGGAAUUUUGCGCAAUGGGGGAAACCCUGACGCAGCGACGCCGCGUGCGGGAUGAAGGCCUUCGGGUUGUAAACUUCUUUGAUGAGGGACGAAUAAAUGACGGUACCUCAAAAACAAGCCACGGCUAACUACGUGCCAGCCGCCGCAGUAA